GGAAGAAUGAAGACCUAAAGUAUUUUACCAAAGUUUUGAAUAAUGCCAGGGAGAGCUACAAAAGUUAAAGGGAGAUGUGGGGAAAAGAAUUAAUACUCUGAAGAAUACUCUUUCCAGUUCUCUCAGCAACAUUGACGUGAUUUCAAAGGACCUGUGCAAG
This 160-nucleotide long non-coding RNA is filed under the name Vombatus ursinus (common wombat). RNAcentral's name for it is "lncRNA (ENSVURG00010006481.1)". The record is from RNAcentral. Lineage: Eukaryota; Metazoa; Chordata; Mammalia; Diprotodontia; Vombatidae.